UUUGUUGCUGCUCUUUGAUCCAAGUUCUUCUGCUCCUACUUGGUUUCCCUCUAUCAUCACCUCUUCUUCACUAUCUUUCAUUUAAUGCAGAAGGCCGAAAAAGCUUUUUUAUGCACGAAAAUUAGGGUUUGAUAAAUCAGAAACGAAGGAAUCAGUGGGAAGAGAGUUUUGAGGACAAUCAGAAAUAAUUAGGUGUUAAGGGUUUUGAGUGGAAAUUGAUUUUUGAUUUGAAACCCAAGCUAGAAAAGAGAGAGAGUGAGAGGUUGAAGGGGAAAUCAAUAUUAAAGAAGAGGCAGAGAGAGGUUCAUAAAUAGAGAAGAGAAGAAGGUUUUGGGGGGAUUUGAAAUUUGAAAGAUGGAAAAAGUACUGUUUGUGCGGGAAACAUUUGACUUAAAAAUUGUUUUGGAGAGAAAAACUCUGAAAAUAAACAAAACUUCUUUAUUCUCUAUUUCUUAUGUUUCUC
This 463-nucleotide long non-coding RNA is filed under the name Trifolium pratense (red clover). RNAcentral describes it as "long non-coding RNA (TPRA_LNC011866)". The record is from RNAcentral. Lineage: Eukaryota; Viridiplantae; Streptophyta; Magnoliopsida; Fabales; Fabaceae.